GACGAACGCUGGCGGCGUGCCUAAUACAUGCAAGUCGAGCGAACCGGCGGAUGGGUGAGUAACGCGUGGGUAACCUGCCCUUAACUCUGGGAUACCAUCUGGAAACAGAUCCUAAUACCGGAUACUAAAGGAUGGACCUGCGUUGCAUUAGCUAGUUGGUAAGGGAACGGCUUACCAAGGCGAUGAUGCAUAGCCGAGUUGAGAGACUGAUCGGCCACAUUGGGACUGAGACACGGCCCAUACUCCUACGGGAGGCAGCAGUAGGGAAUCUUCCACAAUGGACGAAAGUCUGAUGGAGCAACGCCGCGUGAGUGAAGAAGGUUUUCGGAUCGUAAAGCUCUGUUGUUGGUGAAGCGGUAAUCAACCAGAAAGCCACGGCUAACUACGUGCCAGCAGCCGCGGUAAUUC
Molecule: ribosomal RNA, 408 nt
Filed under: uncultured bacterium
Lineage: Bacteria
Description: partial 16S ribosomal RNA
Rfam family: Bacterial small subunit ribosomal RNA
Source: RNAcentral